UCAGUCCAAUUGCUUUAUUUUGUUUCUUAUUAUUUAUUUAUUUUAUUUUAUUUGCGUUAUAGUGUUUUCUGACAUUGGGGACAAUGUCAAGUUUAAGUGUGGGGGUAGAAAUCUCUAGAAUUUCAUUUGUUUCUGUGUUGUUGCUUUUUGUUUUCUUUAAAAAUAAAAAAUAAAAAAAAUCGGAAAAUUUAAAAAUCCAAAAAUAUUGUCUUGUUUCCCUUAUUGUUUUGAAUUAGAUUUUUGUUAGUUUCCCGACCCAAUGAUAUAAUUGGAUCAGAUUCGAACCAUGAUCAUCAAGAACUUAGUUAACAUGUGUUUUGUGAAAUUCCUUAUUCUCUUGUUAGUUUUGUACAUGUUUGACCAUCUUUGAAAAACCAAAUGCACAUAGCCUUGUUAAUGUGAAACUAAAGUAUGACUUAAAGCUUCAUAUGUGAAUUUAGUGACCAUAUACAUCCUAUGUGAGUUUUUGAGCCUAUUGAAAGUGUGUGCAUUUUUCAUACACUCCUAUUUUUUUUAUGUGUGAUGAACUUAUGUGAGAUACAUCUCUAGAACUUGCGUAACGAUCUUUCGAAAUGUUUGU
RNAcentral lists this long non-coding RNA (580 nucleotides) under Malus domestica (apple). RNAcentral's name for it is "long non-coding RNA (MDOM_LNC008848)". The record is from RNAcentral. Lineage: Eukaryota; Viridiplantae; Streptophyta; Magnoliopsida; Rosales; Rosaceae.